UCACCCUCAUAAUCUCCAACUAUAAUACUGUGCCCUCACAGCUUUCAGCACACAAUUAUCCUCGUUCCAAUCACUGGAAUUCUUCACACAGAUUGCCAUUCACAUUACACUAUUUUAUACAAACAUAGACUCAUUCUCUCUGCUGAACUACAAUCAGAUUUCAACAUUCAAUCUUUCUUCUUCUCAAAUAAUACCAAUCACAUUUCCAUUCCAUAAUUUACUUCACAAUAUUCAGAAACUCUCAAUCCUCUUAUUCAAAGAAAAUAACAAACAAAAGAAAAGAAGUAGCACCAAGCUUACCCUGACUCACACUAUUUUAGCGAUGGCCCUUGGCUCACGACUCUCAUAGUUUGGCAUCCUAAUUAACAUCUACAACUCCUAUAUACUUUUCCCUGAUUCUCCAGAUUCUAACCAUAAUUCUGUAAUUAAUCGCUUUUAAUAACUAAGUCACUCAUCCG
Molecule: long non-coding RNA, 458 nt
Filed under: Physcomitrium patens
Lineage: Eukaryota; Viridiplantae; Streptophyta; Bryopsida; Funariales; Funariaceae
Description: long non-coding RNA (PPAT_LNC001610)
Source: RNAcentral